AUGGUCACAUCAAGUUAAAACACAGGUUCCCUUACGAUCACUACAGUUAAGCAACUCCGGACCGGGUAGGUACAUCGAUGGAUAACCGCUUGCGAAUACAAGGUGCUGUAAU
Molecule: non-coding RNA, 112 nt
Organism: Acanthosepion pharaonis
Lineage: Eukaryota; Metazoa; Mollusca; Cephalopoda; Sepiida; Sepiidae
Source: the annotation of a GenBank genome assembly